CUUUUAACGAACAUGCCUAAAUACCAUCUUCCCCUGCUUUAGUUAUUCUCGAAAUUGCAAUAAUGAUCUGUGAUCAGUACCAGAUCAACCAGCGUCGUCUCUUUCUGGUAUUAUGAUACGUAGUCGGAAGACUCUGUGUACCGAAUAUGAGCGUUACAUGUUUAAUGCUAAGGUUCCGACGAAUUUCCAGCUGAACAUGUCUUGUUUUUGAAUAGUUUGCUGAAGCAAAUAUGAUUAAAUGGAAAAGAAGUUAAAUGGAUUUUUUU
Molecule: non-coding RNA, 266 nt
Organism: Salvia hispanica
Lineage: Eukaryota; Viridiplantae; Streptophyta; Magnoliopsida; Lamiales; Lamiaceae
Source: RefSeq, a predicted model, not a curated record